RNAcentral lists this ribosomal RNA (844 nucleotides) under uncultured archaeon. RNAcentral's name for it is "bacterial SSU rRNA". It matches the Rfam family "Archaeal small subunit ribosomal RNA", at positions 475 to 1318 of the family's 1478-position model. The record is from RNAcentral.
ACCGGCAGCCCGAGUGGUGAUCACUAUUAUUGGGUCUAAAGGGUCCGUAGCCGGUUUAAUCAGUCUUCUGGGAAAUCUAAUCGCUUAACUAUUAGGCUUCCAGGGGAUACUGUUAGACUUGGGACCGGGAGAGGUAAGAGGUACUGCAGGGGUAGGAGUGAAAUCUUGUAAUCCCUGUGAGACCACCAGUGGCGAAGGCGUCUUACCAGAACGGGUCCGACGGUGAGGGACGAAAGCUGGGGGCACGAACCGGAUUAGAUACCCGGGUAGUCCCAGCUGUAAACGAUGCUCGUUAGGUGUCAGGAACGGUGCGACUGUUUCUGGUGCCGAAGGGAAGCCGUGAAACGAGCCACCUGGGAAGUACGGCCGCAAGGCUGAAACUUAAAGGAAUUGGCGGGGGAGCACUACAACGGGUGGAGCCUGCGGUUUAAUUGGACUCAACGCCGGAAAACUCACCGGGGGCGACAGCAAUAUGUAGGUCAGGUUAAAGGUCUUACCUGAAUCGCUGAGAGGAGGUGCAUGGCCGUCGUCAGUUCGUACUGUGAAGCAUCCUGUUAAGUCAGGCAACGAGCAAGACCCGUGCCCACUGUUACCAGCAUAUCCUUUAUGGAUGAUGGGGACUCUGUGGGGACCGCUGCUGCUAAAGCAGAGGAAGGUGCGGGCUACGGUAGGUCAGUAUGCCCCGAAUCUCCCGGGCUACACGCGGGCUACAAUGGUUGGGACAAUGGGUAUCUACUCCGAAAGGAGUUGGCAAUCUCUUAAACCCAAUCGUAGUUCGAAUUGAGGGCUGAACUCGCCCUCAUGAAGCAGGAAUCCGUAGUAAUCGCGUUUCAACAUAGCGCGG